CUCUUGCUACAUAAGUAGAGUAGAGGAAAGUUUUUUCGCUUCACGAUGAGCCUGCGGCCUAUUAGCCUGUUGGUAGAGUAAUGGCCUACCAAAGCUACGAUAGGUAGCCGACCUGAGAGGGUGACCGGCCACAUUGGGACUGAGAUACGGCCCAGACUCCUACGAG
Molecule: ribosomal RNA, 166 nt
Filed under: Brachyspira pilosicoli
Lineage: Bacteria; Pseudomonadati; Spirochaetota; Spirochaetia; Brachyspirales; Brachyspiraceae
Description: partial 16S ribosomal RNA
Rfam family: Bacterial small subunit ribosomal RNA
Source: RNAcentral